This 483-nucleotide ribosomal RNA is filed under the name uncultured bacterium. RNAcentral's name for it is "partial 16S ribosomal RNA". It matches the Rfam family "Bacterial small subunit ribosomal RNA", at positions 28 to 523 of the family's 1533-position model. The record is from RNAcentral.
GACGAACGCUGGCGGCGUGCUUAACACAUGCGAGUCGAACGAUGAACCCGGAGCUUGCUCCGGCGGAUUAGUGGCGAACGGGUGAGUAACACGUGAGUAACCUGCCCUUGACUCUGGGAUAACUGCGGGAAACUGUAGCUAAUACCGGAUACGACCCUCGGCGGCAUCGCCAGGGGGUGGAAAGAAUUUCGGUCAAGGAUGGACUCGCGGCCUAUCAGCUAGUUGGUGAGGUAACGGCUCACCAAGGCGACGACGGGUAGCCGGCCUGAGAGGGUGACCGGCCACACUGGGACUGAGACACGGCCCAGACUCCUACGGGAGGCAGCAGUGGGGAUAUUGCACAAUGGGCGCAAGCCUGAUGCAGCAACGCCGCGUGAGGGAUGACGGCCUUCGGGUUGUAAACCUCUUUUAGUAGGGAAGAAGCGAAAGUGACGGUACCUGCAGAAAAAGCACCGGCUAACUACGUGCCAGCCGCCGCGGUAA